GACGAACGCUGGCGGCGUGCUUAACACAUGCAAGUCGAACGGAAAGGCCUGCUUUCCCUUGUGGAUUGCGGGUACUCGAGUGGCGAACGGGUGAGUAACACGUGAGUGAUCUGCCCCCAACUUGGGUAUAAGCCUGGGAAACUGGGUCUAAUUCCCGAUAGGACUGCAGGGUGGUGCCUGUGGUGGAAAACGAUUUUCUAGUGGUUGGGGAUGAGCUCGCGGCCGAUCAGCUUGUUGGUGGGGUAAUGGCCUACCAAGGCGGCGACGGGUAGCCGGCCUGAGAGGGUGGACGGCCACAUUGAGACUGAGAUACGGCCCAGACGCCUACGGGAGGCAGCAGUGGGGAAUAUUGCACAAUGGGCGGAAGCCUGAUGCAGCGACGCCGUGUGGGGGAUGACGGCCUUCGGGUUGUAAACUCCUUUCGACCGCGAGGAAGCCACCUGGUUGGAAGGGUGGUGACGGUAGUGGUAGAAGAAGCACCGGCUAACUACGUG
Molecule: ribosomal RNA, 494 nt
Filed under: uncultured bacterium
Lineage: Bacteria
Description: partial 16S ribosomal RNA
Rfam family: Bacterial small subunit ribosomal RNA
Source: RNAcentral